This 254-nucleotide ribosomal RNA is filed under the name uncultured bacterium. Its description in RNAcentral is "partial 16S ribosomal RNA". It matches the Rfam family "Bacterial small subunit ribosomal RNA", at positions 524 to 776 of the family's 1533-position model. The record is from RNAcentral.
UACGUAGGCAGCAAGCGUUGUUCGGAGUUACUGGGCGUAAAGGGUGCGUAGGCGGUCCUAUAAGUAUGGUGUGAAAUCUCCCGGCUUAACUGGGAGGGUGCGCUAUAGACUGUGGGACUUAGAGUGUGUCAGAGGGGGGUAGAAUUCCACGUGUAGCAGUGAAAUGCGUAGAGAUGUGGAGGAAUACCGAUGGCGAAGGCAGCCCCCUGGGAUAACACUGACGCUCAUGCACGAAAGCGUGGGGAGCAAACAGG